This 433-nucleotide ribosomal RNA is filed under the name uncultured bacterium. RNAcentral's name for it is "bacterial SSU rRNA". It matches the Rfam family "Bacterial small subunit ribosomal RNA", at positions 29 to 507 of the family's 1533-position model. The record is from RNAcentral.
AACGAACGCUGGCGGCAUGCCUAACACAUGCAAGUCGAACGAAGCCUUCGGGCUUAGUGGCGCACGGGUGCGUAACGCGUGGGAAUCUGCCCUUGGGUUCGGAAUAACAGUUAGAAAUGACUGCUAAUACCGGAUGAUGUCUUCGGACCAAAGAUUUAUCGCCCAGGGAUGAGCCCGCGUAGGAUUAGGUAGUUGGUGGGGUAAUGGCCUACCAAGCCGACGAUCCAUAGCUGGUUUGAGAGGAUGAUCAGCCACACUGGGACUGAGACACGGCCCAGACUCCUACGGGAGGCAGCAGUGGGGAAUCUUAGACAAUGGGGGAAACCCUGAUCUAGCCAUGCCGCGUGAUCGAUGAAGGCCUUAGGGUUGUAAAGAUCUUUCAGGUGGGAAGAUAAUGACUGUACCACCAGAAGAAGCCCCGGCUAACUCCGUG